AUCUCCCCUCCCCAUUUGGAUCCUCCGCCACCGGUUCCCCAUUGCUGCCUCCACCGCCCCCGCUCCUCGCCGGUUCCCCAUUGCUGCCUCCACUGCCCUCGCUCCGAGGAGGGCCACGACGGCCAGAUCCUGGACUCAUUGUCGCGUACCUGGAUCCAGGGGAAAUGGCGGAACACGGCGAACGCGAGCGUGACGGCGGGGUUCAUGUGCGCGCCCGAGAUGUGGCCGACGGCGUAGAUCAUGACGGUGACGAUGAGCCCGCCGGCGACCGACUGCCCCAGCUGCGAGAUGCGGUCCUUGUCGCUACCGUAGAUCCCUGCCGCCCCGCACAUGACGAACACCAGCAGGAACGUGGACACCACCUCCGAGACCACCUGUCGAUCGAUAACCAUGGGAGGAGCACCACCACCACAAAGCACUCUCAUGCAUCAGUCGAUCUCCGGCCGCCGGUACUUGAUUCUGAAUAACAAAUAAU
RNAcentral lists this unclassified non-coding RNA (475 nucleotides) under Zea mays. RNAcentral's name for it is "misc RNA Zm00001eb206170". The record is from RNAcentral. Lineage: Eukaryota; Viridiplantae; Streptophyta; Magnoliopsida; Poales; Poaceae.